UACCUACGGGAGGCAGCAGUGGGGAAUAUUGCACAAUGGGGGGAACCCUGAUGCAGCGACGCCGCGUGAGUGGAGAAGUAUUUCGGUAUGUAAAGCUCUGUCAGCAGGGAAGAAAGAAAUGACGGUACCUGACCAAGAAGCCCCGGCUAACUACGUGCCAGCAGCCGCGGUAAUACGUAGGGGGCAAGCGUUAUCCGGAAUUACUGGGUGUAAGGGGAGCGUAGACGGUUAAGUAAGACUGGAGUGAAGGGCCGGGGCCCAACCCCGCG
RNAcentral lists this ribosomal RNA (269 nucleotides) under uncultured bacterium. RNAcentral's name for it is "partial 16S ribosomal RNA". It matches the Rfam family "Bacterial small subunit ribosomal RNA", at positions 335 to 619 of the family's 1533-position model. The record is from RNAcentral.